Molecule: non-coding RNA, 75 nt
Organism: Trichonephila clavipes
Lineage: Eukaryota; Metazoa; Arthropoda; Arachnida; Araneae; Nephilidae
Source: the annotation of a GenBank genome assembly
GUCCCUUUAGUGCAGUGGAUAGCACAUGUUGAACUUCUAAUCCAAAGGUCGUGGGUUUGAAUCCCAAAUGGGAUG